AACGAACGCUGGCGGCAUGCCUAACACAUGCAAGUCGAACGAGACCUUCGGGUCUAGUGGCGCACGGGUGCGUAACGCGUGGGAACCUGCCCUUAGGUUCGGAAUAACUCCCCGAAAGGGGUGCUAAUACCGGAUAAUGUCUUCUGACCAAAGAUUUAUCGCCUUUGGAUGGGCCCGCGUUGGAUUAGCUAGUUGGUAGGGUAAAAGCCUACCAAGGCGACGAUCCAUAGCUGGUCUGAGAGGAUGAUCAGCCACACUGGAACUGGGACACGGCCCAGACGGCGAAGGGAGGGAGAAGGGGGGAAGAUUGGACAAGGGGCGAAAGAAGGAACCAGGCAUAACGGGUGGGGGAAGAAGGUGUGCGGGGUGUAAAGACCGGGGGGGGGGAAAGAAAAGCAGAAGGGAAAGACCCAGCUGUGCUGAAGGUACCAAAAGAAGAAGAAACGGCUAACGUAGUG
This 458-nucleotide ribosomal RNA is filed under the name uncultured bacterium. Its description in RNAcentral is "partial 16S ribosomal RNA". It matches the Rfam family "Bacterial small subunit ribosomal RNA", at positions 30 to 507 of the family's 1533-position model. The record is from RNAcentral.